This 864-nucleotide ribosomal RNA is filed under the name uncultured Neocallimastigales. RNAcentral describes it as "partial large subunit ribosomal RNA". It matches the Rfam family "Eukaryotic large subunit ribosomal RNA", at positions 1 to 646 of the family's 3401-position model. Lineage: Eukaryota; Fungi; Neocallimastigomycota; Neocallimastigomycetes; Neocallimastigales. The record is from RNAcentral.
GUAGUCUCGCACAGAUGCAUAUCAAUAAGCGGAGGAAAAGAGGGCUAUUACCUACGCUUAGGAUGUUGAUCUACGCUGCGUGCUUGAUCUAUACAUGACUCUGUGCAUAUCAAUAAGCGGAGGAAAAGAAACUAACAAGGAUUCCCCUAGUAACGGCGAGUGAAGCGGGAAGAGCUCAAAUUUGAAAUCUUAAAGGGUUUCCCUUUACGAAUUGUAGUUUAAAGAAGUGUUUUCUGUUGAGGUUUUGGUAAAAGUUCUUUGGAAUAGGACAUCAUAGAGGGUGAGAAUCCCGUAUUUGACCUUUACUUUCAACUUUGUGAUACACUUUCAAAGAGUCGGAUUGUUUGGGAAUGCAGUCCAAAAUGGGUGGUAAAUUUCAUCUAAAGCUAAAUAUUGGCGAGAGACCGAUAGCGAACAAGUACCGUGAGGGAAAGGAUGAAAAGAACUUUGAAAAGAGAGUUAAACAGUACGUGAAAUUGUCAAAAGGGAAGCGUUUGACACCAGUGUUGUUUUUCUGAAAAUCAAUUAAAGAACUGUUUAUGCUAAGUUGUUUAGACUUUAUCAGCUAUCUGUUUAGUUUUGAGCUUUUCUUUAAUGCACUUUUCGAGUUAACAAGUCAACAUCAAUUUCUUUUGCUGUAAAAAAGCUUGAGGAAGGUGGCUUGAGAUUCGUCUUAAGUGUUUAUAGCCUCUUGCCUAUGCAGUCGGAGAGAUUGAGGUCUGCAGCGUAGAUCCUUCGGGGCUAAAUGCAUUUGUGCUAAGUUAUAGCAUUUUAUAGACAACUUGUUGACUAUGAUUUGUCUUGUAGCUUACUCGCUUAUGUUAUUUUACCUACGCUUAGGAUGUUGAUCUGUAGUGCGUGCGC